RNAcentral lists this ribosomal RNA (811 nucleotides) under Amniculicola guttulata. RNAcentral's name for it is "partial large subunit ribosomal RNA". It matches the Rfam family "Eukaryotic large subunit ribosomal RNA", at positions 78 to 906 of the family's 3401-position model. The record is from RNAcentral. Lineage: Eukaryota; Fungi; Ascomycota; Dothideomycetes; Pleosporales; Amniculicolaceae.
CCCUAGUAACGGCGAGUGAAGCGGCAACAGCUCAAAUUUGAAAUCUGGCUCCCUUGGGGGUCCGAGUUGUAAUUUGUAGAGGGUGCUUUGGUAUUAGCUGUGGUCUAAGACCCUUGGAACAGGGCGUCACAGAGGGUGAGAAUCCCGUAUGUGGCCAGCAGCUCUUGCCUUGUAAAGCCCCUUCGACGAGUCGAGUUGUUUGGGAAUGCAGCUCUAAAUGGGAGGUAAAUUUCUUCUAAAGCUAAAUACUGGCCAGAGACCGAUAGCGCACAAGUAGAGUGAUCGAAAGAUGAAAAGCACUUUGGAAAGAGAGUCAAAAAGCACGUGAAAUUGUUGAAAGGGAAGCGCUUGCAGCCAGACUUGCCCGUAGUUGUUCAUCUAGGCUUCUGCCUGGUGCACUCUUCUGCGGGCAGGCCAGCAUCAGUCCAGGCGGUCGGAUAAAGGCCUUGGGAAUGUGGCUCCUUUCGGGGAGUGUUAUAGCCCAGGGUGCCAUGCGGCCAGCCUGAACUGAGGUCCGCGCUUCUGCUAGGAUGCUGGCGUAAUGGCUGUAAGCGGCCCGUCUUGAAACACGGACCAAGGAGUCUAACAUCUAUGCGAGUGUUUGGGUGUCAAGCCCGAGCGCGCAAUGAAAGUGAACGGAGGUGGGAACCCCUCGGGGUGCACCAUCGACCGAUCCUGAUGUCUUCGGAUGGAUUUGAGUAAGAGCAUAGCUGUUGGGACCCGAAAGAUGGUGAACUAUGCCUGAAUAGGGUGAAGCCAGAGGAAACUCUGGUGGAGGCUCGCAGCGGUUCUGACGUGCAAAUCGAUCGUC